ACAGGGGAAGCUGGCGGGGGUGGCACGCUUGUCAUUCCCGGCUGCUCCGGAUAGACAGGAGGAUCGCCCCACAAAUUGGAGACUAGCGUGGGCAACACGUUUCCGUGCAGGUCGCCGAGCACAGGGGGUCACUGAGCAGCCCGACUGCUGCUGUCUCCCAUCGGCCUCUUGGUCCAGUACGUCCUGAAGUACAUGGCUGGUGAGGGCUCCUCUGAAAGUGCACCAGAGGCCACAGCCUCCACCCAGGCCCUUGGCUGCCCCAGCUCUGCACUCCCAGAACAAGCUCUGCAGAAGUGACUGGAAGUGCAGGAACCAGGGCUCCAGAGCCACGUGGGACCAGCAGGACACAGCAGCCCCAUUUGUAAUCCCAG
Molecule: long non-coding RNA, 371 nt
Organism: Chinchilla lanigera (long-tailed chinchilla)
Lineage: Eukaryota; Metazoa; Chordata; Mammalia; Rodentia; Chinchillidae
Exons: 3
Source: RefSeq, a predicted model, not a curated record